This 114-nucleotide microRNA precursor is filed under the name Paramuricea clavata. Lineage: Eukaryota; Metazoa; Cnidaria; Anthozoa; Malacalcyonacea; Plexauridae. The record is from RNAcentral.
UACCCUCGCGCAUGGCGCUCGGGCAUGCAUCGAGUCUACUCAGUUUAUUAUUAUUAUUGUCAUAAUAAUAAACUGAGUAGACUCGAUGCAUGCUCGAGCGCCAUACGCGAGGGU